This 74-nucleotide transfer RNA is filed under the name Micromonospora krabiensis. Its description in RNAcentral is "tRNA_Glu_TTC". It matches the Rfam family "tRNA". From Rfam's summary of the family: Transfer RNA (tRNA) molecules are approximately 80 nucleotides in length. Their secondary structure includes four short double-helical elements and three loops (D, anti-codon, and T loops). Further hydrogen bonds mediate the characteristic L-shaped molecular structure. tRNAs have two regions of fundamental functional importance: the anti-codon, which is responsible for specific mRNA codon recognition, and the 3' end, to which the tRNAs corresponding amino acid is attached (by aminoacyl-tRNA synthetases). tRNAs cope with the degeneracy of the genetic code in two manners: having more than one tRNA (with a specific anti-codon) for a particular amino acid; and 'wobble' base-pairing, i.e. permitting non-standard base-pairing at the 3rd anti-codon position. The record is from RNAcentral. Lineage: Bacteria; Bacillati; Actinomycetota; Actinomycetes; Micromonosporales; Micromonosporaceae.
CGCGCGUUCGGUCAUGGGUAGGCCCUCGCCCUUUCACGGCGAUGAAGCGGGUUCGAGUCCCGCACGCGUGACCA